Tripterygium wilfordii is the source of this 318-nucleotide long non-coding RNA. RefSeq lists it as uncharacterized. The record is from RefSeq and is a predicted model, not a curated record. The transcript is spliced from 2 exons. Lineage: Eukaryota; Viridiplantae; Streptophyta; Magnoliopsida; Celastrales; Celastraceae.
AAAACAUUAACUGGAGAAAGAAAAUUGGAAGAGACCAAAGAGUAACCCUAAAAACCAAAUUUAACUCGGAAAGUUGGAUUUGAGUGCAGAUGCCUGACCAUUAUCAUCUCAGUGAUAAUAUAUAUAUAUCAUGGCAGAUCCAACUGUUUACAAAUACAACGAUGACAUGUUUGAGAGAGGAGAAAUGUGUUAAUGGUGGGUUUGCACAAAGACAUGAUGGUGAGGUAUCUACACAGCUUUUUCUUUAUCCUCCUUUAUUGAAUACAAGCAAGCACUCAUUGUCGGCUUCUUUUUGAAUCUAAGUGCUAUUUCUGUUUA